CCUACGGGAGGCAGCAGUGAGGAAUAUUGGUCAAUGGGCGCGAGCCUGAACCAGCCAAGUCGCGUGAGGGAAGACGGCCCUACGGGUUGUAAACCUCUUUUGCCGGGGAGCAACGGGCGCCACGUGUGGCGCCACUGAGAGUACCCGGAGAAAAAGCAUCGGCUAACUCCGUGCCAGCAGCCGCGGUAAUACGGAGGAUGCGAGCGUUAUCCGGAUUUAUUGGGUUUAAAGGGUGCGUAGGCGGAGCGUUAAGUCAGUGGUCAAAUUGAGGGGCUCAACCCCUUCCCGCCAUUGAAACUGGCGCUCUUGAGUGGAAGAGAAGUAUGCGGAAUGCGUGGUGUAGCGGUGAAAUGCAUAGAUAUCACGCAGAACCCCGAUUGCGAAGGCAGCAUGCCGGCUUCCGACUGACGCUGAAGCACGAAAGCGUGGGGAUCGAACAGGAUUAGAUACCCGAGUAGUC
Molecule: ribosomal RNA, 460 nt
Filed under: uncultured bacterium
Lineage: Bacteria
Description: partial 16S ribosomal RNA
Rfam family: Bacterial small subunit ribosomal RNA
Source: RNAcentral